Molecule: ribosomal RNA, 429 nt
Filed under: uncultured bacterium
Lineage: Bacteria
Description: bacterial SSU rRNA
Rfam family: Bacterial small subunit ribosomal RNA
Source: RNAcentral
AAUGAACGCUGGCGGCGUGCUUAACACAUGCAAGUCGUACGAGAACUCUUCUGCUUGCAGAAGAUAGUAAAGUGGCGUACGGGUGAGUAACGCGUGGGUAAUCUACCUCCGAAUUGGGGAUAACAUUGCGAAAGCGAUGCUAAUACCGGAUAAUAUCUUGAGGUCUUCGGCCUUCAAGAUCAAAGGUGGCCUCUACAUGUAAGCUACCGUUUGGAGAUGAGCUCGCGUACCAUUAGCUUGUUGGUAGGGUAACGGCCUACCAAGGCUACGAUGGUUAGCUGGUCUGAGAGGAUGAUCAGCCACACUGGAACUGACACACGGUCCAGACUCCUACGGGAGGCAGCAGUGAGGAAUUUUGCGCAAUGGGGGAAACCCUGACGCAGCAACGCCGCGUGAGUGAUGAAGGCUUUCGGGUCGUAAAGCUCUGUC